RNAcentral lists this ribosomal RNA (506 nucleotides) under uncultured bacterium. Its description in RNAcentral is "partial 16S ribosomal RNA". It matches the Rfam family "Bacterial small subunit ribosomal RNA", at positions 29 to 523 of the family's 1533-position model. The record is from RNAcentral.
AGUGAACGCUGGCGGUAGGCCUAACACAUGCAAGUCGAACGGCAGCACAGGAGAGCUUGCUCUCUGGGUGGCGAGUGGCGGACGGGUGAGGAAUACAUCGGAAUCUACUUUUUCGUGGGGGAUAACGUAGGGAAACUUACGCUAAUACCGCAUACGACCUACGGGUGAAAGCAGGGGAUCUUCGGACCUUGCGCGAUUGAAUGAGCCGAUGUCGGAUUAGCUAGUUGGCGGGGUCAAGGCCCACCAAGGCGACGAUCCGUAGCUGGUCUGAGGAGAAGAUCAGCCACACUGGAACUGAGACACGUUCCAGACUCCUGCGGGAGGCAGCAAUGGGGAAUAUUGGACAAUGGGCGCAAGCCUGAUCCAGCCAUACCGCGUGGGUGAAGAAGGCCUUCGGGUUGUAAAGCCCUUUUGUUGGGAAAGAAAUCCAGCUGGUUAAUACCCGGUUGGGAUGACGGUACCCAAAGAAUAAGCACCGGCUAACUUCGUGCCAGCCGCCGCAGUAA